Molecule: ribosomal RNA, 465 nt
Filed under: uncultured bacterium
Lineage: Bacteria
Description: partial 16S ribosomal RNA
Rfam family: Bacterial small subunit ribosomal RNA
Source: RNAcentral
GACGAACGCUGGCGGCGUGCUUAACACAUGCAAGUCGAACGGAAAGGCCCCUUUGGGGGUACUCGAGUGGCGAACGGGUGAGUAACACGUGAGUAACCUGCCCUUGACUUCGGGAUAACUUCAGGAAACUGGGGCUAAUACCGGAUAGGAAUCCUUGCUGCAUGGUGGGGGUUGGAAAGCUUCGGCGGUUUUGGAUGGACUCGCGGCUUAUCAGCUUGUUGGUGGGGUAGUGGCUUACCAAGGCUUUGACGGGUAGCCGGCCUGAGAGGGCGACCGGCCACAUUGGGACUGAGAUACGGCCCAGACGCCUACGGGAGGCAGCAGUGGGGAAUAUUGCACAAUGGGCGGAAGCCUGAUGCAGCAACGCCGCGGGCGGGAGGACGGCCUUCGGGUUGGAAACCGCUUUCAGCAGGGGCGAAGCUUGUGGUGACGGUACCUGCAGAAGAAGCACCGGCUAACUACCUG